Molecule: ribosomal RNA, 301 nt
Filed under: uncultured bacterium
Lineage: Bacteria
Description: partial 16S ribosomal RNA
Rfam family: Bacterial small subunit ribosomal RNA
Source: RNAcentral
CAGUCGCCGCGGGAAUACGAAGGGGGCUAGCGUUGUUCGGAAUUACUGGGCGUAAAGCGCACGUAGGCGGAUCGAUCAGUCAGGGGUGAAAUCCCAGGGCUCAACCCUGGAACUGCCUUUGAUACUGUCGAUCUGGAGUAUGGAAGAGGUGAGUGGAAUUCCGAGUGUAGAGGUGAAAUUCGUAGAUAUUCGGAGGAACACCAGUGGCGAAGGCGGCUCACUGGUCCAUUACUGACGCUGAGGUGCGAAAGCGUGGGGAGCAAACAGGAUUAGAUACCCGCGUAGUCCCUGUCUCUUAUAC